This is a non-coding RNA of Acanthosepion pharaonis, 114 nucleotides long. Lineage: Eukaryota; Metazoa; Mollusca; Cephalopoda; Sepiida; Sepiidae. The record is from the annotation of a GenBank genome assembly.
UUACGGCCAUAUCAGGUUGAAACACCGGUUCCCGUACGAUGACCAAAGUUAAUCAACGUCGAGCCUGGUCAGUAUCUAGAUGGGUGACCGUUUGGGAAUUCCAGGCGCUGUAAG